Molecule: non-coding RNA, 22 nt
Filed under: Arabidopsis thaliana (thale cress)
Lineage: Eukaryota; Viridiplantae; Streptophyta; Magnoliopsida; Brassicales; Brassicaceae
Source: RNAcentral
CUAAAGCUUCCUUGCUUGUGAC